RNAcentral lists this microRNA (22 nucleotides) under Manduca sexta (tobacco hornworm). RNAcentral's name for it is "mse-miR-2797a". Lineage: Eukaryota; Metazoa; Arthropoda; Insecta; Lepidoptera; Sphingidae. The record is from miRBase by way of RNAcentral.
UUAAGUAGAUUCUAUUUGGCUA